AUGGAGGCCGCCGCGUCCACGCUGCUCCUCUCCGCCGACGCGCCCCUCGCCGCCGGCCGCCGCCUCCUUCUCGUCCCUUCUCGGCCCGCGCGGGCACGGCGGGGCGCCGCGCCCAGCAGGUGCCCGCGGGCGUCCGUCCGCGCGUACGCCGCGGCGGCCGCGCCAGCACCGGCCUCUGGAAACGGCCUCGCCGGGAAUAACAACGGCGGGUACACUGUUGGUGACUUCAUGACGAAAAGGGAGGAUCUCCAUGUCGUCAAAACGUCAACUCCGGUUGAUGAAGCGCUCGAGAUGCUGGUGCAGAACAGGAUCUCUGGUUUUCCUGUUAUCGAUGACGACUGGGAGUUGGUUGGCGUUGUCUCAGAUUACGAUCUAUUAGCUUUGGACUCAAUGGCAGGGUGUGGACUGGCUGAUACGAAUUCAAAUAUGUUCCCUGAAGUAGAUAGCACUUGGAAGACAUUUCGCGAGAUCCAGAGACUCUUGAGCAAAACCAGUGGCAAAGUUAUCGGUGAUGUUAUGACUCCCUCACCUCUUGUGGUGCGUGAAACUACUAACCUCGACGCUGCUGCAAGGUUGCUACUUGAAACUAAAUACCACAGAUUGCCUGUUGUUGAUAGCGCGGGAAAAUUGGUUGGGAUGAUCACAAGGGGGAAUGUCGUCAGAGCUGCUCUCGAAAUAAAGAAGAAAGCUGAAGGUGCUUAA
Molecule: ribosomal RNA, 702 nt
Filed under: Triticum aestivum (bread wheat)
Lineage: Eukaryota; Viridiplantae; Streptophyta; Magnoliopsida; Poales; Poaceae
Description: partial small subunit ribosomal RNA
Source: RNAcentral